GCUGAUGUGUGUGAUGACCUUCUUUCCCCGUCAGAUCGACCCUGGUGACAUGUAAUGCUAUAAAAGCCAGUUUCGUCUGAUCCAUCAGC
This 89-nucleotide small nucleolar RNA is filed under the name Leptobrachium leishanense (Leishan spiny toad). Its description in RNAcentral is "Small nucleolar SNORD12/SNORD106 (ENSLLEG00000025481.1)". It matches the Rfam family "Small nucleolar SNORD12/SNORD106". Rfam says of the family: This family belong to the C/D class of snoRNA which contain the C (UGAUGA) and D (CUGA) box motifs. Lineage: Eukaryota; Metazoa; Chordata; Amphibia; Anura; Megophryidae. The record is from Rfam by way of RNAcentral.